GCCUCCCGCCCUUCCCAUUCCCGCCUGUUCCCCUUUUCUCCUCAGUCGCCUCGCUCCUACAGUGACCAAAGACUCGACCACUCGAAGUCCAGCUCCCCAGAACAGUGCUCAACAUGGAUACCGGUGUGAUUGAAGGUGGAUUAAAUGUCACUCUCACCAUCUGGCUACUUAUACAUGGAAAGGAAGUUGGCGGUAUCAUUGGAAAGAAAGAAGAAUCAGUUAAGAAGAUGUGUGAGGAGAGUGGUGCAUGUAUCAGCAUCUCAGAAGGGAAUUGUCCUGAAAGAAUUAUCACUUUGGCUGGACCCACUAAUGCCAUCUUCAAAGCCUUUGCUAUGAUCAUUGACAAACUGGAAGAGGACAUCAGCAUCUCUAUGACCAAUAGCACAGCUGCCAGUAGACCUCCAGUUACCCUGAGGCUAGUGGUUCCUGCUAGUCAGUGUGGCUCUCUCAGUGGAAAAGUUGGCUGCAAGAUCAAGGAAAUAUGAGAGAGUACAGGGGCUCAGGUCCAGGUGGCAGGGGAUAUGCUACCCAACUCAACUGAGCGGGCCAUCACUAUUGCUGGCAUUCUGCAAUCCAUCGUUGAGUGUGUCAAACAGAUCUGCGUGGUCAUGUUGGAGACUCUCUCCCAGUCCCCCCCAAAGGGCGUGACCAUCCCAUACCGGCCCAAGCUGUCCAGUUCUCCAGUCAUCUUUGCAGGUAGUCAGGCCUAUACCAUUCAAGGACAGUAUGCCAUUCCACAGCCACAUUUGACCAAGCUGCACCAGUUGGCAAUGCAACAGUCUCAUUUUCCCAUGACGCAUGGCAACACCGGAUUCAGUGGCAUUGAAUCUAGCUCUCCAGAGGUGAAAGGCUACUGGGCAGAUUUGGAUGCAUCUGCUCAGACGACUUCUCAUGAACUCACCAUUCCAAAUGAUUUGAUUGGCUGCAUCAUCGGGCGUCAGGGCGCCAAAAUCAAUGAGAUCCGUCAGAUGUCUGGGGCGCAGAUCAAAAUUGCAAACCCAGUGGAAGGAUCUACUGACAGGCAGGUUACCAUCACUGAAUCUGCUGCUAGCAUUAGCCUGGCUCAAUAUCUAAUCAAUGUCAGGCUUUGCUCGGAGACGGGUGGCAUGGGGAGCAGCUAGAACAAUGCAGAUUCAUCCAUUAUCCCUUUCUGCUGUUCACCACCACCCAUGAUCCAUCUGUGUAGUUUCUGAACAGUCAGGGAUUCCAGAUUUUAAAUAGUUUGUAAAUUUUCAGUUUCUACACACUUUAUCAUCCACUCAUGAUUUUUUAAUUAAAGCGUUUUAAUUCCUUU
This is an RNA transcript of Otolemur garnettii (small-eared galago), 1294 nucleotides long. It is a transcript of the gene named poly(rC)-binding protein 2 pseudogene, with no coding region annotated. NCBI's taxonomy places the organism in Eukaryota, Metazoa, Chordata, Mammalia, Primates, Galagidae. The transcript has a single exon. The record is from RefSeq and is a predicted model, not a curated record.